AAACUAGUUGAUGGCCCACUUUUCAAAAUGAAAGCUUAGUCUAUGCCAGAAAUUUGCCCUAAAAUUGACUUUGCAUAAACUGCAUUCGAUUAGGCAAUAACUCGCGUUGGAUGUAAUACAAUUGUUUCUAUCAAUUUACUUAAAUUAUUAUCUCCGCUUAUUCCGCAGCUCAGCAUUCGACAGCAUGUUGCUAUAGGGAAUAUUUUCAACGUCACACAGGCUAUAUUGUGCCUGGCAGUUGAAGAGUGCCAUCAUAAACCAUCUUUGGUGUCAUGGGAAUAGGGGUGGGUCGGGAGCCUCGCAGUCAUCCACUCAUACCUAAAAGUCACUGCUGAACACUGGGUAAAGUCACAUAGAUAGAUAUUCGCUCACACGAACAGCCCUGUGCUUGCGACGUGACAACCUGUAUGGCAUUCUGGAAACCACCGCGCGGUCAGUACAGCCAAAACGAUGAGGUCAGAGUUCACUGUCCGACCCUGCGGAUGAGGCACUCCUGCUGACUCACCCUACAGUAUACUUCGCCCUUAAUGGCCACUGCACCGCAGUGCUUCACUCUUGCCCUAAAUGGCCGACACACAGCAGUUCUUCACUGGCAAGCUUUAUGUUCCUGUAAACACGCUAAAGCUGCCAGCUGAAGAACUGCUCUGGUCAGCUCUGUCCGGCGCCAAGGGAGAAUAAAAAGCAGAGGAGGAGGAAGAACAUGAAGACAAAGAAAAGGAGUAGGAGGGGGAGUUUGGCCCAAAUUCAUCCUACCCACACAUACAUGAUUAUUCCUCCGUAUGUAUUCCUCUAGGUUUGAAUUAGUGUGUUUACUAUAGUUUUUAUAUUAGUACUAUAACUGUAUACUUAUAUCUUUCCAUCCAGCAAAUCAAACAUUGGAGACAAAUUGGCUUAUAGAUGAAUAUAGGAAUAUAUAUACUUGGUAUAGUGUAAUGUAUGGUAUCAAACAAUACAGUAUGUCAGAUCUGUUGUGAAUCUGCCACGUUAUGUAUAACUGAUAUAGCUGUCAUUUUAUUUUUUUACUGUAGUGCCUUUAUGCCUUACAAUAAAGUGAAUUGUUAGUCAA
Long non-coding RNA from Esox lucius (northern pike), 1066 nucleotides. RefSeq lists it as uncharacterized. Lineage: Eukaryota; Metazoa; Chordata; Actinopteri; Esociformes; Esocidae. The record is from RefSeq and is a predicted model, not a curated record. The transcript is spliced from 2 exons.